RNAcentral lists this ribosomal RNA (2586 nucleotides) under Triticum aestivum (bread wheat). RNAcentral describes it as "partial small subunit ribosomal RNA". The record is from RNAcentral. Lineage: Eukaryota; Viridiplantae; Streptophyta; Magnoliopsida; Poales; Poaceae.
AUGACGACGCAGCCGGCGGUGGGCGACCCUCUGUCGGACCUAUGGGAGCACCUGAUGUCGCCGAACAGGACGCACCUGUCCUGCUUCUACCCGAGCAAGAUCACCAUGAGCGGCAUCUGGACCGGCGACAACCCGCUCGACUUCUCCCUCCCGCUCAUCCUCUUCCAGAUGCUCCUCAUCACCUCCACCACCCGCGCCGCCACCCUCCUCCUCUCCCCGCUCGGCCUCCCCCGCUACAUCUCGGAGAUACUCGGCGGCUUCGUUCUCGGGCCCUCGGUGCUCGGCCGGCUCCCGCACUAUACCGACAUCGUUUUCCCCCCGCGCAGCAUCUUCAUCCUCGACUCCAUGGCCCUCCUCGGCCUCGUCUACUACAGCUUCACCAUCGGCGUCGAGAUCGAGGUGCCCACCAUCACCCGCGCCGGCUUCCGCAGCUUCUGGUUCGCCGGCGCGUCGGCGCUCCUGCCUUUCCUUAUCGGCGCCACCACCGGCUACGUCGCCCUCGGCACCGACGAUUCCCGUCAGAAUGCUGACUUCGUCGACAAACUCUCCUUUCCCAUCUUCCUCGGGUCCACCUUCGCCUCCACCGCCUUCUCCGUGCUCGCCCGCAACAUCGCCGAGCUCAAGCUCGCCGGUACCGACGUCGGCCAGAUCACGCUCUCCACCGCCCUCAUCAACGACACUAUCGCGUGGACUGGGCUCACCGUCGCCACGGCGCUCUUGUACGCGGAGGACAGUGGGUUGCUCUCGUCCGUGUGGACGCUCCUGUCGGGGCUUGUCAUCUUCGGCGCGAGUGUCCUCCUGGUCCGGCCCGCGCUCGUGCGGCUGGCGCAACGCGCAACCACCGAGGGGGAGGUAAUCGGUGAGGAGCGCGAGUGCGCCGUGCUUGUCGGCGUCAUGGUGGCAGCUCUCGUGGCGGACGCCGGGGGCACACACGUCAUCUUUGGGGCCUUCGUGUUUGGGCUCGCCGUGCCCAACGGGCCCGUCGGCGUGGAGCUGGUGGAGAAGGUGGAGGACUACGUGGUGGGGACGCUACUCCCGCUCUUCUUCGCCAUGUCCGGCCUCCGCACGGACACCUCCAAAGUUACGAGCAUGGAGGCCGCCGUGCUGCUGAUGGUUGCCACCUUUGCCGCGGCGGUGUUGAAGGUGGUCGCUUGCAUCGGUGUGGCCGCGGGGUUCGGCAUGCCGCUGCACGACGGCACGUCCAUUGGGCUGCUGCUCAACACCAAGGGGGUCAUCGAGCUCGUCAUCCUCAACAUUGCAAGAAACAAAAAGAUCAUGAGCGACCAGUCGUUCACGGUGCUGGUGUUCAUGUCGGCGCUGAUCACGGCGCUGGUGAGCCCGUUGCUGACCAUGGUUGUCAAGCCGGCACGGCGCCUCGUCUUCUACAAGCGGCGCACCGUGGCGUGGCCGCAGCCGGACGCCGAGCUCCGCGUGCUCGCCUGCGUGCACGUGCCCCGCGACGCCCCCGCAGCCAUCACGCUCGUCGACGUCCUGUGGCCCUCGCGGCGCUCACCCAUCGCCGUGCACGCCCUUCACCUCAUCGAGUUCGCCGGUCGCGCCUCGGCCCUCCUCUUGAUCAACGCCGCUGCCCCGGCCGCCUCUUCCUCCGAGUUCUCGGACCAGGGCCGGAGCCACGUGGAGAUGCAGUUCAAGCACAUCGCCCACGCCUUCAUGGCUUACGUGGAGAACCACGCGCCAGGCGGCGUCUUGGCGCGCACCAUGGCCGCCGUGUCGCCGUACGCGUCCAUGCACGAGGACAUCACCGCCGCCGCCGAGGACCAGCACUCGGCGCUCAUCGUGCUCCCGUUCCACAAGCACCGGUCGGUGGACGGCGGCAUGGAGGUGUCCCACCCGGCGAUCCAGUCGCUGAACGCCAGCGUGCAGUCCUGCUCGCCAUGCACGGUGGCCAUCCUCGUCGACCGAAGCCUCGGCAACGGCGGCACCGCGCCGAGUGGAGCCGGCGGGUACCGCGUGGCGGCGCUCUUCUUCGGCGGGCGCGACGACCGCGAGGUGGUGGCCCUGGCCACCCGCAUGGCGCGCAACCCGGCCGUCGGCCUCACCGUGAUCCGCUUCGUCCAGAAGGGCAGGGCCGGCAGCAUGACCUCGAGCGAGUUCGACGCCCUCAAGGAGCGGAAGGCCGACGACGGGUGCAUGCGGGAGUUCCUGGACCGGGCCAACGCCGGCGGCGGGGGCGUGGAGUACUGCGAGAGGGGGGUGUUCAACGCGAGCGAGAUGGUGGCGGAGAUACGGAACGUGGAGGCGGCCGGGAAGGACCUUUUCUUGGUGAGCAGGACGCCGGGGGCGACGGGACUGACGGCCGGGAUGUCGGACUGGAGCGAGUGCCCGGAGCUGGGGCCGAUCGGGGACCUGCUUGUGUCCAAGGACUUCCAGACCAAGGCGUCCGUGCUGGUGGUGCAGUCCUACGGGAGGGCGGCGGCGUCGGCGGCGGCUGCGGCGUCGGCGUCUUCCGAAUUUGCUGUUGGCGAGGCCGUCUUGCCGGCGCCAGAGGCCAUCAUGCCGGCGACCUCCAUGGGGCACCCGCCAAGGCGCCCACGACAACAUUCACAUUCUGACCUUAUGCUUUGA